AGAGAAUUUAGCGGAGAUGCUUUAGUGCCUUCGGGAACUCUGAGACAGGUGCUGCAUGGCUGUCGUCAGCUCGUGUUGUGAAAUGUUGGGUAAGUCCCGCAACGAGCGCAACCCUUAUCCUUUGUUGCCAGCACGUAAUGGUGGGAACUCAAAGGAGACUGCCGGUGAUAAACCGGAGGAAGGUGGGGAUGACGUCAAGUCAUCAUGGCCCUUACGAGUAGGGCUACACACGUGCUACAAUGGCGCAUACAAAGAGAAGCGACCUCGCGAGAGCAAGCGGACCUCAUAAAGUGCGUCGUAGUCCGGAUUGGAGUCUGCAACUCGACUCCAUGAAGUCGGAAUCGCUAGUAAUCGUAAAUCAGAAUGUUACGGUGAAUACGUUCCCGGGCCUUGUACACACCGCCCGUCACACCAUGGGAGUGGGUUGCAAAAGAAGUAGAUAGCUUAACCUUCGGGAGGGCGUUUACCACUUUGUGAUUCAUGACUGGGGUGAAGUCGUAACAAGGUAAGCGUAGUGCU
Molecule: ribosomal RNA, 519 nt
Filed under: uncultured bacterium
Lineage: Bacteria
Description: bacterial SSU rRNA
Rfam family: Bacterial small subunit ribosomal RNA
Source: RNAcentral